AGAUUCUAGACUAGUUAUAUAUGUACAUAAAAUAUAUAAAUAAAAGAUAAAAUUUAUGCAGGCCUAGAUCCCAUAAAUUUAUAAUUGAUCCAGAUCUAUCAGUAAAAGUUACCUUCGACUGGAAGUUUUACCCAAUCUAAUCUAUACAAGACAAUUUAUAAUCCAUGCCUCGCCUACACCCCAUACAUUAAAUAAUAGUUCCCAUGCGGGGAUGGCUGCCUGGUCGUGCAGUUUGCUCGCUGGACUGUCGUUCGGAUUUAUCGACGGUCGAGGGUUCAAACCCUGCCCGAUCCCAUCCCCCGUCGUCCUGCGGGAGGUUUGGACUAGGAAGUAAACUAUCUUCAACUCUGAAGGAACAUCCGAAUUAUGUAAAACAUUUUACAUGCCCAGACCCAUGAGUUCAUGAAAUAAUAAAUGAUGUGGUGUCAAUUAUGGAUCUAUCCCCUGAAAUUCAGGACUUUAAUAUAAAACUCACAUAUCUAGUUAAUUAUUUGCUAUGACACUCUGAUCAACUUUGACUUGUGUGAUACAUAUAUGUUUCUUAUCAGAUUUAAUGAAUGAAGUUUUGGUGCAUUUUAAGGCUACAAAAGUAUCAUCAGGUGUAUUCUAACCAUUGGUAUUUUUCCUGGCAACAUUUCUUUUCUAGUCUGUGAUAAAUUAUAAAUUUAAAAAAAUGUUUGUAAUGUUUCAGUUAUUAACAAGUAGAACCAUGGCAACCAGUUCUGAUGAUGUACCAGAAUGGCUCAAGGAUCAUACUUAUACUAUUUCUACUCUCUGGGCAGACAUUAAUAAUAUUGGCAUCCAUUCAAUAUUUAUUUUAUAUUUGGAAAUGCAAGAAAAAGGCAUGCAUUCCUGACAAGUCAAUGAUUGGUUGCACCUCUAAAAGAUAACUUUCUGUUAUGAGAAAAGAUGAGAUUCUUGGACUCCUGCAUAGCACCACCAGAAAGGAAAAUCCCAUCAUAUUGCAAAAUAAAAGUCUUGGACCAAUUUUAAUUUAAGAUAUAUAUAUUAUACUGUAAGCUCUAUACAUAUUUAUGUGUAUCCUGUCAUUCAGCAAACAGGUUUGGAUUUAGUAUUUCUUUAAAUCUGUUUGAUAUUGUACUUGAAAACUAUUAAUCUGAGCCCCAUUAAAACAAUAGGGAGUGCAGUGAAUGAGUGGUAAAGCACUUGCCCUGAGUCCACCUAACUCUAAUGGGUAGCUGACUUUCGUUUUGGAAAAGUAAAAGAUGGUUGGUUGUUGUGCUGGCCACAUGAUGCACUGGCCAAAGAAUCAAAUGACCUUAACAUCAUCUGCCCUAUAGAUUGUGAGGUCUGAAAUGGGAUUUUUUUUCAAAAGGUGGUUGGUUGUUGUCCUGGGUACAUGACACCCUCGCUAACCAUGGGGCACAGAAACUGAUAAACGUUAUAUCAUUUGCCCCAUAGAUUGCAAGAUAUGUAAGGGAAAUUUUACUUUUUAAAAAUUAAAAUAAGAAUCAAACAAAAGUAAACAUAUAAAAUAUGGUGCAUUCUCCUUAAAACUAAAACCUGGUGCGAAGGUUUAAAAUGUUGGCAAAAAAAAGCAACAUCAUAUAUUCUUAAUUCCCUUUGCAAAACUUACUGAGAAGAACAUGCAUGUUGUUCCCUCAUAAGUUUCUUGACAGAGGAAAUCUUGUUUAUAUUAGAUUUGAAUUAAGCAAAUUAAGAAAAAAAUUAUAAUCAUUAUUUCAAAUGGUUGUAUCUAAACCUUAUGAAUUAUUUUUCAGUUAUAGGUAUAUUGAGAUGAAUGAAUAAUCAUGAAAUUGUUAAAUAAUUGCUGCUAUCAUUCCAUUGACUUAAGA
Molecule: long non-coding RNA, 1817 nt
Organism: Biomphalaria glabrata
Lineage: Eukaryota; Metazoa; Mollusca; Gastropoda; Planorbidae
Exons: 3
Source: RefSeq, a predicted model, not a curated record